Regulatory RNA element from Pelodiscus sinensis (Chinese soft-shelled turtle), 54 nucleotides. It matches the Rfam family "DUF3800-VI RNA". From Rfam's summary of the family: Actinobacteria, Planctomycetes, Proteobacteria, Spirochaetes. Nearby to DUF3800 The record is from Rfam. Lineage: Eukaryota; Metazoa; Chordata; Testudines; Trionychidae.
UGGCUGGGAGGGCGGGGCUUCCUCUGUCCACAGGGCAUUAAGCCCUCCUGGCCU